UUUUCCAAAAAGGGAAAGGUUCCACCGAGAUUUGAACUCGGGUUACUGGAUUCAGAGUCCAAUGUCCUGACCACUAGACCAUGGAACCAUCUUUGGUAUGUUAUUGCAGCUUUUUACUUUUGAAUAAUUUAGCUAAUCGUAUAAAAUUAGUACGAGGUGCUUUAAAAUACAACCACUCUCCAAACAAGCAACCAGACCAGUGGCUAUUUGUGUAAUGGUUUCUUUAUAAAAUGGCCUAUAUUGGUCCUGAACUGAGUUCACCAUUUGAUAAAAGACAAAGCCACCACUACAUCUGCAAAACACCAGUUAAGGGAUUUGCUUGGUUAGUUGAAUAGUGAUGUUUCUUCGCCGAGUUGGAUCAGCAACAUUACCACUGUCGAGAAGGUUAUUUUGCAGUAUUGGUAGCCAUGAUAUAUCCAAAGCUAUUUCUGAGCUUAAUCAGGUUUAUAUAUGUAUAUCAUAAUUAUGUGCUUAAAUUUUUGUCUCAAGGAUUUAACAUGUUUCUUUUGGAGACUUCUAGGCUUAAGUUUUAAUUAUUCCUAAAUGAAUGUUGAGGAUCAUUAAAAGAAUAAAGAACUUGCAAUUUCAUUGUUUGAAGGCUGGAUAUUGUUAUGAUAAACACAUUUUUAAAUUAUAUCAGCUGAUCGACAUUUUUCUGCUUCUUUUUUUUUUUUUAACAAUC
Molecule: non-coding RNA, 682 nt
Organism: Nicotiana tabacum (common tobacco)
Lineage: Eukaryota; Viridiplantae; Streptophyta; Magnoliopsida; Solanales; Solanaceae
Source: RefSeq, a predicted model, not a curated record